Molecule: long non-coding RNA, 2116 nt
Organism: Equus asinus (donkey)
Lineage: Eukaryota; Metazoa; Chordata; Mammalia; Perissodactyla; Equidae
Source: Ensembl
CCAUGGAAUACGUGCCACAUCGAGAACUCACAUUACCGGAACAGAAGAGGGACACUGGCUCACUUCACGAAGGAUGGGCAAAUACUGGGCCAUCUUUUUGGAUAAUCCAAAUGUAUGGAUGCAAGUAUCAUCCUCCCUAAACCCAGCCACCUUGCUCCCUAAUAAGACAUCAGAAGACUUAGAACGUGACUGCUCACAAGUUACAGAGACAAUGUAUUCUAGACAACCUGAUUUGUUGGACUGUCCAUUGGAAGAACCAGACCUGAAACUCUUCACAGAUGGCAGCAGCUUCAUGGAUCAAGAGUGAUAAUGGACCAGCCUUUGUCUCCCAAAUAAUCCAACAAGUAUCCAAAAGCUUAGACAUCCGAUGAAUACGACACUCAGCCUGGAAACUUCAAUCAACUGGAAAGAUGGAGAAAAUGAAUCACAUCUUAAAGAAGACCCUUGCCAAAAUCUGUCAUGAAACACAACUAAUAACUUGGGAUAAGGCACUGCUCUUUGCCCAGCUACGGGUUAGAGCAGCUCCCUAAAGCGGACUUAAAUUGAAUCCUGUCAAAAUUCUAUGUGGGAGACACUUUCAGGCAUCUUCCCCUGGGACUGAAUCUCUGGACAUUUUAAGCAAUGCCAUGAUUGCUAAUUAUGUUAAAUCAUUAAACUCUGUAUUAACUUCUGUCCGUGAGCUUACUUCUCAUAGGUCUACAUAUCUGUCUGACAUCCCUCUACAUGCCUUCCAACCUGGUGACCAUGUUUUGCUGAAAACUUGGAGAGAUCAGGGACUCUAAAACCAGUUGUCACCCAAAUGGACAGGCCCUUUUGAGAUUCUUCUCACCACUCACUCAUCCGUAAAACUUGCAGGCGUAAAACCCUGGAUUUAUCACUCCCGGGUCAAGGCAGCCCCCAAAUCACAGGAAACUUUCCCACCAGUAUCGGGGGGAAAAUGCGUGGCGGAACCCCUUGGAGAGCUAAAAUAUGUCUUUCACAGUUGACUCUUUUCCAUGCUAUGGUCUCCCUACGACAUCCUGAUUCAGCAGGAAGUAACUAGAAAAAGUAGGACACCCUGUCUCCCCCUUGACCAUAAGAUUAUGGGUUACUACUAACAGGGGGGAAACUGUGAGUGAGCAUAAGUGAGGCCAUCUUGUUACACUAAAUGGCCGCCAGCCCCUCCUCUUUGUGAUUACGCGCUGCUCUGCACAUACUCUAAAAAAUUCACAUGCUCUCCUGAUUUAUGGCCUCCACUUACCUAUGUACUCCUUGAUACCCUGAUAAAUUAAAACUUUGUUCUAUGAGUUUCUCUCCAGGAACAGGCUGACCACAGGCGGGAAACACACCUACAAGGUGUCCAUCACAGAUGACAGAAGAAUGAAACGAUGUGAUGCCUGGGGCCUGUCAUGCCUGGAGACCAAUAUCCCUGGACCGGCUCCUCACUGCCCAUUUUCCCUAUAUAACUGCCUCAAGAUUCCAUAAUCCUUGAAGAUGAGUUUUUGAGACAUUAGUCACCCAUCUUCUGAUUAGCUGGCUAAUUUAGUUAAACUUCCUUUCUCCACCUUUAACUCGUUGUAAGUAAUUGGCUCACAUCACGGAGAGCAGAGCGAGCCCAUUGCUCGGUAUCACCUUCUGUUUAAAAUUCCUAAUAUCUGACAACCAUGGGCUGGCAUUCCUAAUGACAAAGGUGGCUGGAACUGAGUACGCCUCAGGUCUGCCAGCUGCAGGUGAGCGGGCCCUAUUAAUCCCCAUGGGCUCCCAGCCUCAGAGGGCAGGGUGUGUUACCACUUAUCACUGAGCUCAUGCCCUCAACCAAAGUUUAACUAUUCUAUGUACUAUGUAUAAGAGAGUACGGCAGCAGGUAAACUCACUUUAGAAAAACAAAUCCAUCAGAACUGGUUAACCUUUUUUAAGGUAAUUUGACCAUGGCUGUCAAUUUAAAACAUUUGACCUAGCGUAAAAAUGUAUUUGCACCAAACACAAAAUAUAUACACAUCCAAGGUUGUUCAUUGUAACAUUGUUUGAAAUAGCAAAACACUGGAAGCUGCCUAAAUGUUCAUCAGCAGGAGACUGGCUAAAUAAAUUAUGGACUAUCCACACAAUGGAGUACUGUACAGCUACUUUUAAAAGGGAG